UAUGCCCCCCUUCGAAGAAGAGGGGGUAUAUUGCUUUGCUCAUGUCGGUCUGUCGGUAGGUCGGUCUGUCGGUCGGUCCGUCCACCAGGUGGUUGUCAGACGAUAACUCAAGAACGCUUGGGCCUAGGAUCAUGAAACUUCAUAGGUACAUUGAUCAUGACACGUAGAUGACCCCUAUUGAUUUUGAGGUCACUAGGUCAAAGGUCAAGGUCACAGUGACCAGAAAUAGUAAAAUGGUUUUUGAAUGAUAACUCAAGAACGCAUACGCCUAGGAUCAUGAAACUUCAUGGGUAGAUUGAUCAUGACUUGCAGAUGACCCCUAUUGAUUUUGAGGUCACUAGGUCAAAGGUCAAGGUCAUGGUGACCCGAAAUAGUAAAAUGGUUUCCGGAUGAUAACUCAAGAACGCUUAUGCCUAGGAUCAUGAAACUUCAUUGAUACAUUGAUCAUGACUCGCAGAUGACCCCUAUUGAUUUUCAGGUCACUAGGUCAAAGGUCAAGGUCACGGUGAUCCGAAAUAGUAAAAUGGUUUCCUGAUGAUAACUCAAGAACGCUUAUGCCUAGGAUCAUGAAACUUCAUAGGUACAUUGAUCAUGACUCGCAGAUGACCCCUAUUGAUUUUCAGGUCACUAGGUCAAAGGCCAAGGUCAUGGUGACGAAAUAGUUAAAUAGUUUCCUGAUGAUAACUCAAGAACGCUUAUGCCUAGGAUCAUGAAACUUAAUCAUAGGUACAUUGAUCAUGACUAGCAGAUGACCCCUAUUGAUUUUGAGGUCACUAAGUCAAAGGUCAAGGUCACAGUGACCCGAAAUAGUAAAAUGGUUUCCGGAUGAUAACUCAAGAACGCUUUUGCCUAGGAUUAUGAAACUUCAUAGGAACAUUGAUCAUGACUCGCAGAUGACCCCUAAUGAUUUUCAGGUCACUCGGUCAAAGGCCAAGGUCACGGUGACCUGAAACAGUAAAAUGGUUUCAGAUUAUAACUCAAGAACGCUUAUGCCUAGGAUCAUGAAAUUUCAUAGGUACAUUGAUCAUGACUCGCAGAUGACCCCUAAUGACUUUCAGGUCACAAGGUCAAAGGUCACGGUGACUUGACACAGUAAAAUGGUUUCCGGAUGAUAACACAAGAAAGCUUAUGCCUAGGAUCAUGAAACUUCAUAGGUACAUUGAUCAUGACUCGCAGAUGACCCCUAUUGAUUUUCAGGUCACUAGGUUAAAGGUCAAGAUCACAGUGCCAAAAAACGUAUUCACACAAUGGCUGCCACUACAACUGACAGCCCAUAUGGUGGGCAUGCAUGUUUUACAAACAGCCCUUGUUAAAAACUGCACCUGCAGUCAAGCGUUGGCACCUGUUAUGCGGUGCUCUUGUUAAUAAAAACAAUUGUACAUGUAUUGACACUAUUGUGUAUUGUGUUUUUGUGUGUGUGUGUGUGUUAUUACCAGAAGUUUUCAGACUGUAAUACAUGUAUAGCAUUUAAGGCCAAGCUGGUGAAUCUAAUAUCAUUAGAAACUUCUCCUGCUCCUUAUUCAUCCAUGGGAAUGUUAAAUGACAUUCCACUGGGACUAUUAUUAAUUGUUAACAUUCAUUUUUAUACGCCCGUCUAUGACGGGACGUAUUAUGGUAUACCCCGCGUCCGUCCGUCUGUCCGUCCGUCUGUCCGUCCGUCUGUCCGUCCGUCUGUCCGUCCGUCUGUCCGUCCGUCCGUCCGUCUGUUAAUGUCGUACGCUACGUCAAAUAUCCUUUGACAGAUUUUCUUCAAAUUUUAACACAAUCUUAAUAUUGAUAAACCCUGAUCCCCUUUCGUUUUUGACGGAAUUCUGAAUUGUCGUUCCAGAGUUAUGGGACUUUGUUCGUCAAAAUUUCGUGAUUUCAUUGAAUGUCCUACUGUAGCUCAAAUAUCCUUCGAUGGAUUUUUUUCAAAUUUCAACACAAUCUUAAUAUUGAUAAACCCUGAUCCCCUUUCGUUUUUGACGGAAUUCUGAAUUGUCGUUCCAGAGUUAUGGGACUUUGUUCGUCAAAAUUUCGUGAUUUCAUUGAAUGUCCUACCGUAGCUCAAAUAUCCUUCGAUGGAUUUUUUUCAAAUUUUAACACAAUCUUAAUAUUCAUAAACCCUGAUCCCCUUUCAUUUUUGACGGAAUUCUGAAUUGUCGUUCCAGAGUUAUGCGACUUUGUUCGUCAAAAUUUCGUGAUUUCAUUAAAUAAACUGAAGUAAAAAAAUGAUUCAAAGGGUUAUUUAUUACCUUACUACUUCAUUGGCGAACGACGGGCGUAUCAUGCGCUCAUGGCGCAGCAGUUUAUUAACAUUUGUGCUAUGAUACGAGUGCCAUUAGUGAUGUGUUGUAGUGUGUGUGUGAUACCUCUCAAUAUGUCGGCCAUUGUUCACCAACUAUAUUUUCAGACCUGAGAUGCUCUGAUAACUUUAAUUAUGACCUUAAGACUGUUGGGUAAUGUAUUUUAUUUUUUAAGCCUUAACUGUUUUCAAACCUUUUUUCUGUAUAUUAUAAUUAAGGCCAAUAAUAUUUGUCAUGACAUCAGGAAAAUUGAUAUAAAUAUUUUUUGAUAAAUAAAGUAUUGUUUCAUUGGUCAAGGUCUUUUAUGAUGAAACCUAAAACUGGUAUGUUAAGUGUAUGAAACAACUGUAGAAUUCAUACUCUGGAACUUCAUGUCAUGUUGAUGACCAAAGGCCUUUGGUAUUUCAAUUUGUUAAUGAAAUAGUUAUGUUGCUUCACGAUUUAGCAAUAUUUAGCCUGUGUAAGUGUAAAAUUCUGUAAAUAAUGAAUUCUGCUAAAAUCGUGUAGUAUUUUCCUACAAAAUGUCUCAUGAAAAUACCAGGGGGUUUUAAGUUUAAAAUUAACCUUUGCAAUGAUUGUUUUAUAUAAAAUAUAAGACAUACAGACUGCAUAAUUUAUAACUUGUUUCAUUAAAUAAUAAUGUGUCUGCAAGUGGUUUGAAAGGUCUAGGUCUAGAGAUGUGUUUGUGCAUUGAUGUUCAGCUUUGUGUAUAUAAUAAUCAUUUCUGUACUACAUGUCAAUGUGUAGUUUGCUUCAAUCUCUGUUACUGGUAGUUAUAAAAGCUGCUGCAGCUGAGUCUGUUGUGUACAGAUUGUUAAAUAUAUUUUAUUAGUAUAUGCUUGUUACACAUGUUCAUGUUACUGAGACAUUUAAAUUAUCUGUUCUGCCAUUAUAUAAAGCCUUGCUUUGAGCAAAGAGGGUUUAAUGCAUGUGUGCAUGUUUGUCAAUUUCAUUCCAGAUUUGCGUGUGCAGUCCCCACAGGCUUAUCAGAAACUUCUCUGAUGAGCCUGUGCAGACUUCGUAGGCUAAUCUGGGAUGUCAAUGUACCCACUUGCAUUAAACCCUGUUUUCCCAUAUUGAGGGUCAUACAGAGAUAUUGUUUUAGAGUUGCUCAAUCACUCGUCAUUCUUCAACAGUAGUCGUUAUUAAUUAAACAUUGGUAUUGUACAUGUUAAA
Dreissena polymorpha is the source of this 3461-nucleotide long non-coding RNA. RefSeq lists it as uncharacterized. The transcript has 2 exons. The record is from RefSeq and is a predicted model, not a curated record. Lineage: Eukaryota; Metazoa; Mollusca; Bivalvia; Myida; Dreissenidae.